CCUUUGUAGCGGACGCCCCUCGACCCACCCACCCGAUCCCGGCCGCACCCUGCUCUGCACCCGCACCCCACCCCCAGACCUCACCCUGCCCUGCCGUGCGCUCAACAGCCAGAUGCUGGGCCCAGACAAGCGCUCUUCCGCUAGUGUGCCGGGAUGAGCGGGGGCUGGACUUCUAGAAAGGGGUCUGCGGGCGCAGGAGCUGGGGUCCGCGGUCUGGGGCCGCCAACACAAGCCAUCAGCCCCAUGCUCAGCUCCCAGCAGGCAGAGCGUUCAGAAGCGCCAGCGCCAUCAUCUUGGGAGCCUGCAGUCCACACACCGCUGACCUUACCUACUUCCUCUUUCCAGGUCGUAGAUUACAGACUCUCCUCUGGGAAAUUGCCCCCAGAUCUAACAGGAGUACAAGAAGCUGGGUAGAUUGGAAAACAGCACCGAAUUCCCCUGGAACUGAGGACGGAAGCCUUCCCAGUCCUGCAGCCACCUGCAGACUCUCACAAGCACGGUGCUCCCGGGAGAAGACCUUGCUACCCCAGGCCCAAGGCAGUCGAGAGAAAACGGGAAGCCCUGAAGGUUUUUCACCCCGGGGGUGAGAGUGUAUGAUCGAAGAUAUAUUUGAGGGUAAUUGUACAGAUAGUCCCAACUUAGCAUUGUUCAACUUUAUGAUGGUAUGAAAGUGAUGACAUUCAGUAGAAAUUGUACUUCAAGUGCCAAUACAAUCAGUUUUUCACUUUUGGUGCAGUAUUCAAUAAAUUACAUGAGAUAUUCAACACUUUACUUUAAAAAAAAAAAAAA
Molecule: long non-coding RNA, 789 nt
Filed under: Homo sapiens (human)
Lineage: Eukaryota; Metazoa; Chordata; Mammalia; Primates; Hominidae
Description: WDR86 antisense RNA 1, transcript variant 2 (WDR86-AS1)
Source: RNAcentral